AACGAACGCUGGCGGCGCGUCUUAAGCAUGCAAGUCGAACAGCAAGAGAGGAGCUUGCUUCUCUCCUAGAGUGGCGGACUGGUGAGGAACACGUGGGUAAUCUACCCUUAAGAUGGGGAUAGCUGCUAGAAAUAGCAGGUAAUACCGAAUACACUCGGCAUAUCACAAGAGGUGUUGAGGAAAGGAAGCUACGGCUUCGCUUGAGGAUGAGCUUGCGUCCCAUUAGCUAGUUGGUGAGGUAAAGGCCCACCAAGGCGACGAUGGGUAUCCGGCCUGAGAGGGUGAACGGACACAUUGGGACUGAGAUACGGCCCAAACUCCUACGGGAGGCAGCAGCUAAGAAUAUUCCGCAAUGGACGGAAGUCUGACGGAGCGACGCCGCGUGGAUGAAGAAGGCUGAAAAGUUGUAAAAUCCUUUUGUUGAUGAAGAAUUAGGGUGAGAGGGAAUGCUCAUCUGAUGACGGUAAUCGACGAAUAAGCCCCGGCUAAUUACGUG
Molecule: ribosomal RNA, 496 nt
Filed under: uncultured bacterium
Lineage: Bacteria
Description: partial 16S ribosomal RNA
Rfam family: Bacterial small subunit ribosomal RNA
Source: RNAcentral